GCAAGUCGAACGUGAAAACCCUCGGGUGAGUAGCGUGGCGGACGGGUGAGUAACACGUAAUCAAGCUACCUGCCAGACAGGGAUAACCUCGGGAAACCGGGGCUAAAACCUGAUGGUCUUGUCGGACCGCAUGGUCUGACAAGUAAAUGGACGGGACCCUUCGGGGCCGUCUGCUGGCAGAGGUGAUUGCGGCCCAUCAGCUUGUUGGUAGGGUAAUGGCCUACCAAGGCUACGACGGGUAGCCGGCCUAAGAGGGUGGUC
Molecule: ribosomal RNA, 261 nt
Filed under: uncultured bacterium
Lineage: Bacteria
Description: partial 16S ribosomal RNA
Rfam family: Bacterial small subunit ribosomal RNA
Source: RNAcentral